CCACAACAAUGACAGUAGCAGCUGCAGCAGCAGCAGCAGCAGCAACAGCAACAACAACAACAACAACAACAACAACGUUCAAGGUAAUAACAGAGUAUAAAUUAAAGACUCUGAGUCAGAUUUACACAGACACAGUGUCUUUUGCCUAAACCCGAUGGUAACCAGAUGGUGAGGGGCAAGCACAAGAACAUAAGCAACAGAAAUCAAUACUACUUGACAACAUCAGAACCCUGUUCUCAAACCACAACAAGCACACCUGAUACCCUGGAUACCCCAGUACACCUGAAAAGUACCCUUGGGAGCCAGAGGAAGGCAUCAGAUCCCUGAAAUUGCAAAUGGUUUUGAGCCACUUGAUGGGGCAGCUUGGAACUAAACCCAGAGCCUCUGCAAAGGUUCUGGAUGUAGCUACAAGGCAGAGUUCUUGCUUAGUGUGUAUAAAGUCAAGCAUCAGCACCAAAAUAAAGUGG
Mus musculus (house mouse) is the source of this 467-nucleotide long non-coding RNA. RefSeq annotates it as predicted gene, 41454. NCBI's taxonomy places the organism in Eukaryota, Metazoa, Chordata, Mammalia, Rodentia, Muridae. The transcript is spliced from 4 exons. The record is from RefSeq and is a predicted model, not a curated record.